Molecule: ribosomal RNA, 617 nt
Filed under: uncultured bacterium
Lineage: Bacteria
Description: bacterial SSU rRNA
Rfam family: Bacterial small subunit ribosomal RNA
Source: RNAcentral
CCUACGGGAGGCAGCAGUGGGGAAUUUUGGACAAUGGGCGCAAGCCUGAUCCAGCAAUGCCGCGUGCAGGAUGAAGGCCUUCGGGUUGUAAACUGCUUUUGUACGGAACGAAAAAGUCUGCCCUAAUACGGUGGGCCCAUGACGGUACCGUAAGAAUAAGCACCGGCUAACUACGUGCCAGCAGCCGCGGUAAUACGUAGGGUGCGAGCGUUAAUCGGAAUUACUGGGCGUAAAGCGUGCGCAGGCGGUUAUAUAAGACAGAUGUGAAAUCCCCGGGCUCAACCUGGGACCUGCAUUUGUGACUGUAUAGCUAGAGUACGGUAGAGGGGGAUGGAAUUCCGCGUGUAGCAGUGAAAUGCGUAGAUAUGCGGAGGAACACCGAUGGCGAAGGCAAUCCCCUGGACCUGUACUGACGCUCAUGCACGAAAGCGUGGGGAGCAAACAGGAUUAGAUACCCUGGUAGUCCACGCCCUAAACGAUGUCAACUGGUUNUUGGGUCUUCACUGACUCAGUAACGAAGCUAACGCGUGAAGUUGACCGCCUGGGGAUACGGCCGCAAGGUUGAAACUUAAAUGAAUUGACCGGNNGAGAGNGCGAGACGACGACGAGGGAGGAGG